Molecule: long non-coding RNA, 1304 nt
Filed under: Homo sapiens (human)
Lineage: Eukaryota; Metazoa; Chordata; Mammalia; Primates; Hominidae
Description: HSALNT0080432
Source: RNAcentral
GAAAGAAUUGGCAGACAAAAUACAUGCUGGUGACUCAGUGUGAGGUGUUCUCUCCUCCUUGGGGGGACGAAGCGGGAGCAGAGAACACUGAAGCCAGAGGCACUGACUUAAAAUGGAGCAUCUGAUCCUUAAAGAUCCCCUGGUAUUUGUUGUCAGAGAUGUCAGCUGGAUUUCAGUUCAGAUAAUUACAUUUUGCUUGUCUAAUGCCCCUAGCAAUUUCCAGUGGGAUCUUCAUUUCCCAUCAGAAAUUGCUCUGCAUGUGAUGCUGUGCUUCAUUAAACAACUGCCGUGUGCUAGCUCACAGGUGGUGUUUGUUUCAGUGGUCACUGAAGUAAUCUCUCCGCAGGCCCAUGCCAGCCAUACUGCCCAGACUUGAAUUCUCUCCAGAGAAGUUUCUCAUCCAAGAUCCCCAGUAAAGAAAGUAAGCUACAUAAAAAGGAGUUUGCUUGGUGAGCAAUGGUGGAGUGAGGCUCAUGAUUUGAGUAUUUCAAGAUGUCAACUAAGGGCACCUCAACCAAAUGCACCUCAUGCCCACUGACUCAACAGGUCGAGACCUUAAGGAAAUGCGGCAUUCCAUUGCAUAAUGCUUCAAUAUGAGUUAACAAGACAAAUGAGCAGAGAAACUAUGACUCUCCAUGCUGCAGAAGGAAAAUGCUCCUAGCGAACAUCUGCUUUGGGACCAAGGACAGAACCCAGAGGGCUAACAAAGAAGCACCAUGGAGUUGGUACACAGACCUCUGAGAACGGAUCCUAAAUGGCUAUCGCUGCUACCUGGCAUCUCACCAGAGAACUGGUUCUGGAAGCUCUCAAGGAAGGUUGAAGCUUUUAACUGCUACUGACCAAUACAGGAAAAACAGAAAUGUAUGGAGUCUCACUAUGUCACCCAGGCUGGAGUGCAGUGGCGUGAUCUCGGCUCACUGAAACCUCCACCGCCCAGGUUCAAGCAAUCCUCCUGUCUCAGCCUCCUGAGUAGCUGCAACUACAGGCACCUGCCACCAUGCCUGGCUAAUUUUUGUAUUUUUAGUAGAGACAGGGUUUCUCCAUGUUGGCCAGGCUGGUCUCAAACUCCUGACCUCAGGUGAUCCACCCACCUCGGCCUCCUAAAGUGCUGGGAUUUCAGGCGUGAGCCACUGCCUUCAGCUGGAAAUAGCAUUUACUUUAGAGUGUGAUUGUAAAGAUUAGUGUGAUAAUAUGUACAGAACAUCUUAUAUUCAUGGAGGGCACACAUUUGUUCAAUGAAUUGUACUGAUGAGAUCACAAAUCACAUUUCCUCACCCUUCAACCACUGCGCAUCCAAUAUCAUU